CAGAUCUGCUGAGAAACUGCCCUGGUGAGAGCAGGGAGAGCAACCUCCCCAAGCUGGGUCUGCUCCUGUGGCUCACAGCCCUGCUGGAUCACCACGCUCAGCCUGAGAAGACAAGGAGAGCACGUUUAUCAGCCCAAAGGUGCAUGUGCCAGCUAGCCCUGGUGCUGAGCCAGCAUUCCACGGCCCCUCAGCUGUUCUCCCCAGACUAGUGGGAUAAAGUCAAGCCUGUGGGGCUGGACGUUGAAGCCUCAUUGCUACAAACCAUAAUCCUGCUGGUUUGGCAGCUACAGGGACAUCCCAGAGCAGCAACCCCUCAAGUCAGGGCGAAGAGCAGAAUCAGCAGAGAUGAGACAACAAGAUCCCAGGCUGCCUCAGAUCCAGUGCCUCGUCCAUCUCCUACAGGCAGAGUCCCUGUCCCGAGGCUCCCAAGUCCCCUAAUGAUCAGUCGAUGACAUUGGCUGUCCAGAAAAUCCCAGGAACCUGCUCUGGCUCCUGCCAGGAAACUCUGGGAUUGCAGCAGCUCCUGGAAAGCUGGCAGAGCUAUGGAAGUGGGGAGGCAUGGAUGAACCACACAUAAAUUUGCAUUUAUUAAUAACA
Molecule: long non-coding RNA, 597 nt
Organism: Cyanistes caeruleus (blue tit)
Lineage: Eukaryota; Metazoa; Chordata; Aves; Passeriformes; Paridae
Source: RefSeq, a predicted model, not a curated record